CGGAAGUGGGGAUUUCCAACGCAUUUGAUGACGGGGCAGAGGAGAGCAAGAGGUACCAGUCAGCCAAGACAAUGGACGAGCCGACUUCCGGUUGCUUCGCGCCGACGCGGCCACACACAGCGGUCAUGGCACUAUUUAUCCAGGCCGCAGGGUGGCGCUCGGGUUCGGUCGAUCGAUGGAGGAGAAGCAACGCGAAAGACCGUCAACACAGACGCUGACAAACACCGAAACACAGAGUCACACUGAAGGCAUCAAGGGCUAUUUGAGCAAGAAGGAGCGUGAUGAUGACCUGGCC
Long non-coding RNA from Carassius auratus (goldfish), 295 nucleotides. RefSeq lists it as uncharacterized. NCBI's taxonomy places the organism in Eukaryota, Metazoa, Chordata, Actinopteri, Cypriniformes, Cyprinidae. The transcript is spliced from 3 exons. The record is from RefSeq and is a predicted model, not a curated record.